This is a long non-coding RNA of Sinocyclocheilus rhinocerous, 295 nucleotides long. RefSeq lists it as uncharacterized. The record is from RefSeq and is a predicted model, not a curated record. Lineage: Eukaryota; Metazoa; Chordata; Actinopteri; Cypriniformes; Cyprinidae. The transcript has 3 exons.
CGUGGUCCUCAAAUACAAACAGUAAUAAAGGCUUCCCUCGGACCAGGAGAGUUACAGACCGUCCGACCGACUGACUGUUCAGGGAAUUGUGGCGGUGGCGGCGGAGUCAAAAGAGACUUAUUUCUCCAGACAUGAAAGGUUCCUGAGAUCAAGCACCAUGAAAAUGAAAAGCACUCUGUCCUGUAAAUUCAGGUCUGACAGGAAGCAGGUGUCUCAAUUAGAACAGCAUCAAGGACUGCGCUUAAGAAGUGUUUUAUAGCCUGAACAGUAUGGGCAGAGUCAAAAAUAGCCCACC